Molecule: unclassified non-coding RNA, 378 nt
Filed under: plant metagenome
Description: partial contains 5.8S ribosomal RNA, internal transcribed spacer 2, and large subunit ribosomal RNA
Rfam family: 5.8S ribosomal RNA (bases 1-105)
Source: RNAcentral
GAAAUGCGAUAAGUAAUGUGAAUUGCAGAAUUCAGUGAAUCAUCGAAUCUUUGAACGCACCUUGCGCUCCUUGGUAUUCCUUGGAGCAUGCCUGUUUGAGUAUCAUGAAAUCUUCAAAGUAAAUCUUUUGUUAACUCAAUUGGUUUCUACUUUGGUAUUGGAGGUCUUUGCAGCUUCACACCUGCUCCUCUUUGUUCAUUAGCUGGAUCUCAGUGUUAUGCUUGGUUCCACUCGGCGUGAUAAGUUAUCUAUCGCUGAGGACACUGUAAAAGGUGGCCAAGGUAAAUGCAGAUGAACCGCUGCUAAUAGUCCAUUGACUUGGAAAAUACUUUUAUGAUCUGAUCUCAAAUCAGGUAGGACUACCCGCUGAACUUAAGC